Molecule: ribosomal RNA, 1342 nt
Filed under: Coconut root wilt phytoplasma
Lineage: Bacteria; Bacillati; Mycoplasmatota; Mollicutes; Acholeplasmatales; Acholeplasmataceae
Description: bacterial SSU rRNA
Rfam family: Bacterial small subunit ribosomal RNA
Source: RNAcentral
GUUGCUACGUCUGGUAGCGAAUAACAAGGCAUCUUUUUAUUUUUAAAAGACCUUUUUCGGAAGGUAUGCUUAAAGAGGGGCUUGCGUCACAUUAGUUAGUUGGCAGGGUAAAGGCCUACCAAGACUAUGAUGUGUAGCUGGACUGAGAGGUUGAACAGCCACAUUGGGACUGAGACACGGCCCAAACUCCUACGGGAGGCAGCAGUAGGGAAUUUUCGGCAAUGGAGGAAACUCUGACCGAGCAACGCCGCGUGAACGAUGAAGUAUUUCGGUAUGUAAAGUUCUUUUAUUGAAGAAGAAAAAAUAGUGGAAAAACUAUCUUGACGAUAUUCAAUGAAUAAGCCCCGGCAAACUAUGUGCCAGCAGCCGCGGUAAUACAUAGGGGGCGAGCGUUAUCCGGAAUUAUUGGGCGUAAAGGGUGCGUAGGCGGUUUAAUAAGUCUAUAGUUUAAUUUCAGUGCUUAACACUGUCCUGCUAUAGAAACUAUUAGACUAGAGUGAGAUAGAGGCAAGUGGAAUUCCAUGUGUAGCGGUAAAAUGCGUAAAUAUAUGGAGGAACACCAGAGGCGUAGGCGGCUUGCUGGUCUUUACUGACGCUGAGGCACGAAAGCGUGGGGAGCAAACAGGAUUAGAUACCCUGGUAGUCCACGCCGUAAACGAUGAGUACUAAGUGUCGGGAUUACUCGGUACUGAAGUUAACACAUUAAGUACUCCGCCUGAGUAGUACGUACGCAAGUAUGAAACUUAAAGGAAUUGACGGGACUCCGCACAAGCGGUGGAUCAUGUUGUUUAAUUCGAAGAUACACGAAAAACCUUACCAGGUCUUGACAUACUCUGCAAAGCUAUAGCAAUAUAGUGGAGGUUAUCAGGGAUACAGGUGGUGCAUGSUUGUCGUCAGCUCGUGUCGUGAGAUGUUAGGUUAAGUCCUAAAACGAGCGCAACCCUUGUCAUUAGUUGCCAGCAUGUCAUGAUGGGCACUUUAAUGAGACUGCCAAUGAAAAAUUGGAGGAAGGUGAGGAUCACGUCAAAUCAUCAUGCCCCUUAUGAUCUGGGCUACAAACGUGAUACAAUGGCUGUUACAAAGAGUAGCUGAAACGCAAGUUUAUAGCCAAUCUCAUAAAAGCAGUCUCAGUUCGGAUUGAAGUCUGCAACUCGACUUCAUGAAGUUGGAAUCGCUAGUAAUCGCGAAUCAGCAUGUCGCGGUGAAUACGUUCUCGGGGUUUGUACACACCGCCCGUCAAACCACGAAAGUUGGUAACACUCAAAAACGGUAGCCUAACUUCUUCGGAAGAGGGAACCGUCUAAGGUAGGAUCGUAUGAUUGGCCUAAGUAGAGGUUGCAAU